UAUGGAGAGUUUGAUCCUGGCUCAGGACGAACGCUGGCGGCAUGCCUAAUACAUGCAAGUCGAGCGGAGUUGUUUUGGAAGCUUGCUUCCAAAACAACUUAGCGGCGGACGGGUGAGUAACACGUAGGUAACCUGCCUAUAAGACUGGGAUAACUACCGGAAACGGUAGCUAAUACCGGAUAAUUUGUUUCUUCUCAUGAAGAGACACUGAAAGGCGGAGUAAUCUGCCACUUAUAGAUGGGCCUGCGGCGCAUUAGCUAGUUGGUGAGGUAACGGCUCACCAAGGCGACGAUGCGU
This 297-nucleotide ribosomal RNA is filed under the name Paenibacillus glacialis. RNAcentral's name for it is "partial 16S ribosomal RNA". It matches the Rfam family "Bacterial small subunit ribosomal RNA", at positions 1 to 284 of the family's 1533-position model. Lineage: Bacteria; Bacillati; Bacillota; Bacilli; Caryophanales; Paenibacillaceae. The record is from RNAcentral.